RNAcentral lists this transfer RNA (76 nucleotides) under Bdellovibrio sp. CG11_big_fil_rev_8_21_14_0_20_39_38. RNAcentral describes it as "tRNA-Trp". It matches the Rfam family "tRNA". Rfam says of the family: Transfer RNA (tRNA) molecules are approximately 80 nucleotides in length. Their secondary structure includes four short double-helical elements and three loops (D, anti-codon, and T loops). The record is from RNAcentral. RNAcentral also lists the same sequence under 2 other names. Lineage: Bacteria; Pseudomonadati; Bdellovibrionota; Bdellovibrionia; Bdellovibrionales; Pseudobdellovibrionaceae.
GGGCGUGUAGCUCCAAUGGUAGAGCGGCUGAUUCCAAAUCAGUAGGUUCAAGGUUCGAAUCCUUGUGCGCCCGCCA